UGGGGAAUAUUGCGCAAUGGGGGAAACCCUGACGCAGCAACGCCGCGUGAGUGAAGAAGGCCUUAGGGUUGUAAAGCUCUGUCAUAUGGGAAGAUAAUGACGGUACCAUAAGAGGAAGCCACGGCUAACUACGUGCCAGCAGCCGCGGUAAUACGUAGGUGGCGAGCGUUGUCCGGAUUUACUGGGCGUAAAGGAUGCGUAGGCGGAUAUUUAAGUGGGAUGUGAAAUCCCCGAGCUUAACUCGGGGGCUGCAUUCCAAACUGGAUAUCUAGAGUGUCGGAGGGGAAAGUGGAAUUCCUAGUGUAGCGGUGAAAUGCGUAAAGAUUAGGAAGAACACCAGUGGCGAAGGCGACUUUCUGGACGAUAACUGACGCUGAGGCAUGAAAGCGUGGGGAGCAAACAGGAUUAGAUACCCUAGUAGUCCACGCCGUAAACGAUGAAUACUAGGUGUAGGAGGUAUCGACUCCUUCUGUGCCGCAGUUAACACAUUAAGUAUUCCGCCUGGGGAGUACGAUCGCAAGAUUAAAACUCAAAGGAAUGGACGG
This 545-nucleotide ribosomal RNA is filed under the name Clostridium sp. enrichment culture clone M17C2. Its description in RNAcentral is "bacterial SSU rRNA". It matches the Rfam family "Bacterial small subunit ribosomal RNA", at positions 355 to 916 of the family's 1533-position model. The record is from RNAcentral. Lineage: Bacteria; Bacillati; Bacillota; Clostridia; Eubacteriales; Clostridiaceae.